GGACAAAUUCCUUAGGAUGACUCUGUUAUGCUCAGAUUUCGUAGGUUCUGUUUCAGAACACUCCAAGAUACUGAGAUGAAGCUCUUCUCUUUACCUCCAAUUUUUAUCCUGCUUUUGUCUAUGCAAGUCAUUAGUAGAACGUUCUGCUAGAACAUGGAUGAAGUUUCCUUAGUGGUUUAAAUUACAUCAACAUCACUAUCAGCUCCAGAAGAACAGGUUGUGGAUGAUCUGCUCCAGGUCCAGUAGCUGAACAUAGCUACGUUGCCCUAAUCUAGAGGACGGAGAAGGAAGGGUUCAGUUUUGAACCAGAACUACGGAUUGGUGUAUUGACUAGAGGCUUUAUUAGGUAGAGGAUCAGAGGAGGGAGAGUCCACAAUCGCUGUCUGUGUGCUAGAGAGCUGGAGUGCUGCUCAAUCCAAGACGCUGCAAGUUACAGAACAAGAGGAUUCAUGAAUAUAGCAUCAGCCUAAGACCAAAGGCUCAGAGGGUUUCUGGAGAGUUGCUGGUAUGAGACUGUGUGGAAAGGCUGAAGGAACUGGAGUCUGAUGUUUACAGGUGAAGGUGGCAAAAAAAUACCCACUGAAGCAGAAUGGGGCUCUUGAAAAGGCAUGCAAAUCUCCUUCUUUCCCUUUUAAUCCACCCAGGCUCCAAGCCUAUUGAUGGUGCUAUCCCACAACUAGAGCAGGUAGUCCCCGCUUAGUUUUCUGGUCAACAUGCCAGUGAUCUCUGGAAAUACCCCAC
RNAcentral lists this long non-coding RNA (741 nucleotides) under Fukomys damarensis (Damara mole-rat). RNAcentral's name for it is "lncRNA (ENSFDAG00000026957.1)". Lineage: Eukaryota; Metazoa; Chordata; Mammalia; Rodentia; Bathyergidae. The record is from RNAcentral.